This 484-nucleotide ribosomal RNA is filed under the name uncultured bacterium. RNAcentral's name for it is "partial 16S ribosomal RNA". It matches the Rfam family "Bacterial small subunit ribosomal RNA", at positions 28 to 523 of the family's 1533-position model. The record is from RNAcentral.
GAUGAACGCUGGCGGCGUGCUUAACACAUGCAAGUCGAACGGUGAAGCAGGAGCUUGCUCUUGUGGAUCAGUGGCGAACGGGUGAGUAACACGUGAGCAACCUGCCCCUGACUCUGGGAUAAGCGCUGGAAACGGCGUCUAAUACUGGAUAGGACCACUGCCUGCAUGGGCGGUGGGGGAAAGCUUUUGCGGUGUGGGAGGGGCCCGCGGCCUAUCGGCUUGUUGGUGGGGUGAUGGCCUACCAAGGCGACGACGGGUGGCCGGCCGGAGAGGCGUCGCGGCCACACUGGGACUGAGAAACGGGCCAGGCUCCUCCGGGAGACAGCAGUGGGGAAUAUUGCACAAUGGGCGCAAGCCUGAUGCAGCGACGCCGCGUGAGGGAUGACGGCCUCCGGGUUGUAAACCUCUUUCAGCACCGACGAAGCGCAAGUGACGGUAGGUGCAGAAGAAGGACCGGCCAACUACGUGCCAGCAGCCGCCGCGG